ACAGAGACCCCAAGCGUUACCCGGAUUUAUUGGGCGUAAAGGGUCAGUAGGUGGUUUGGUAAGUGGAAAGUUAAAGCUCAUCGGCUUAACCUUUGAGAUGCUUUUCAUACUGCCAGACUUUGAGGGCGUUAGAGGCUAACGGAACCGACGGAGUAGGGGUGAAAUCCGUUGAUAUCGUCGGGAACACCAAAAGCGAAGGCAGUUAGCUGGGACGACCCUGACACUGAAUGACGAAAGCGUGGGUAGCAAAAAGGA
Molecule: ribosomal RNA, 255 nt
Filed under: uncultured prokaryote
Description: partial 16S ribosomal RNA
Rfam family: Bacterial small subunit ribosomal RNA
Source: RNAcentral